RNAcentral lists this long non-coding RNA (113 nucleotides) under Pongo abelii (Sumatran orangutan). RNAcentral describes it as "lincRNA". The record is from RNAcentral. Lineage: Eukaryota; Metazoa; Chordata; Mammalia; Primates; Hominidae.
CCCACAACAGACUAUGAAGAAUAACUAGCAGUCUUUAUAUCAGAGGCAGAAAGUACUGAACGCUUACUUUCCAACGUGGCUGCAUCAUUUCACAUGCCUACCAGCAGUAUGAG